RNAcentral lists this long non-coding RNA (13244 nucleotides) under Solanum tuberosum (potato). RNAcentral's name for it is "long non-coding RNA (STUB_LNC011561)". Lineage: Eukaryota; Viridiplantae; Streptophyta; Magnoliopsida; Solanales; Solanaceae. The record is from RNAcentral.
UCCAGUUCCCAUUUUCCCCAAUUUCUCCCCUCCGCCUCCCAAAUUUGCCUCCGCCUUCAAUCUUCGGCUUCACUCAUUUUUUACUCAGCAAUGUGUAUCCCCUUUUAGGUACUUAAUUCUAUUGCGUGGUCGGCGUAAAGAUGGAAAAUUGGUGAGACGAUUUCCUUAAUGUAAAAUUGUGGGAUGAAUCUGAACUUCGAAGUUCGAUAAGAAGCAGCAAGGCUCAAACCACUCCUUUUCUCGGUAGAUCUAAAUUAAUGAUGGUGUGGACAACGUCGGCUAUACAAGGUGAAUAAAUUACAUAAAAUUACCAGAUAGAUUAGCAUAUAAUUCAUUAGUGAUAUUUUGGGGGAAAAACUCCUCGUAUUUCUUGGUGUAUAUUUAUUUUCUUUAAAGUGAGAAUGAGCAAUCCAAAGGUGCAUAUACUACUUUAUUUUCUUUUUGUUUCAUCUACUUUACUAUAUGCGACCUUAAUUUGUGUUUGUAAUUGUUUUUCAACUUUACUUGUAUUUGGAGAUCUGAGCCAAGGAUUGUGAUGAAUUUUUUGUUUUUUAUUUUUGGGGUAGGGCUUGGAUUCAAAGGUAUGCAGACUAAUUUAUUACAUUGAAAGGCAUAUUGAAGGAGCUUCAGGAUCCGUAGAAGGAUCUUCUGUUGUAGGCUAAUUUGGAAAUGAAAGAAGUCUCCCACACCCUGCAGUGUUGGUAUGUCGGCUCUACAUCCUAUUUUUCCUUCCACUUCUCAUUUUUUUAUGGUUCCUGAACUUAUUGUCUUAGUUUUGUUAGCUUAUGACCAAUAUUUAGGUCCUCGUGUGAACUUCUGGUGUGUUCUGUGGCUUUGUGAGGUUCUUGUUGCUAAGUUUAGAACAUGGAGCAUAAGAACAAGCUUGAUUUAGUAAUUGUAACAUCCGACAAUUUAAAAUGAAUAUGAAGAAGCUUGAAAUUGGAAGUAGUCAUUUUUGGAAAAAAUAUUUAGAAUCUGGAAAUUCAGCCAAGUGUGGAAAUCAGUGAGUUUUUGGCCAACUUUGAGCAGUCAUACUCCUAGAUCAGGAUGAUCCAGGAGUAGUUCCAGUUAUGUUUGGAAAGCCCUUGGAACGAUCUUUCCAACGCCACCGAGUUUGCUCAAUUCCGAGUUCGUAUGAGCGAGUUAUGCCCUUUGAAAGUUGGGCAGUUGGCAGGGAAUCCGUCCGGAAAAUUUAAGGGCAUUUUGGUCUUUUCACAAAUCUUUUCUUUUGAGGUUAUAUUGUUGUGUUAGGCUGUUUGUGGAUCAUUUUUGUUCCAUUUUAAAAGAGUAAGAGUUAGGGUUCUUGAGAGUGAAGAAGAAGAAGAACUUGGAGCUAGGGCUUGGUUUGAAGACGUUUUCUUCAUCAAAUUUCUUGGGGAAUCUUAGUAAAGGUAUGGGAGUUCUUUAUCUAGGGCAAGCUAUCACCCUAGAGCCAAUUUCAAAUGGUUUUCAACUUUUCCAAAGUUUGUGAAAAAGCCUAAUUUCUACUCAAACUCAUGGGUUCUUGCAUGAAAUGAUUUCAAAUGAUAAGUUAUGAUAUUAUUGAUGUUUAUUUGAUGUUUUAAGAUGAAAAACUCCAUGAAUCCUUGUAUCCUACAAAACCCUAAAAUGUGUUUAUGAAGUGGGUCUAUUUCUAUAAAUUCAAAGUUGAUGGAAUUAUGUGUAAAGUGAAUUGUAUUGAUAUCUCUUGUGUUGUUUAAUUUUUAUUCAUGAUUAAUUGUUGAUAAUGGGUGAAUUAAGGGUGGUAAGCCUUAUGGGUGAAGUAUUGGUGAUUGCUUGGAUUUUUGGUGAUUUUGGCUAUGGCUUUGAAUUAUGGUAAGAAAGCUUGAACUCUCUUUAUUGAAUUUGAAGCUAUAUGUGAAGGAAUGAUGUGAAUGAGUUUUAUGUGAAGCUAUAUGUGAAGGAAUGAUGUGAAUGAGUUUUAUGUGAAGCUAUAUGUGAAGGAAUGAUGUGAAUGAGUUUUAUGUGAAGCUAUAUGUGAAGGUAUGAUGUGAAUGAGUUUAUGUGAUCUUGUGAUGAUCCUAUGUAAAGUGGAUAGCAUUGUGAGUUAAAGUAUGAUUUCUCAUGAUGUAUAUAUGAAAUGAUGUUGGAUUAUGAAGUAUCCUUAAAUGAAAAUGUUGUGACUUGGUUGGUAGACUAAAGUGUCCCUCCUUGUUACUUAAAGUCUUGAAUGCAUGAAUGUGUGAAAUGGGCAAAACUAAGAAAUGGUGCCCUUUCAUAAGUCUAGCUUUCCUAAGUAAAUGUAAAACCAUGAAAUCGGUAGACCUAAUGGUGGUAGCCCUUCUCAUGUGUGAAAUGAUGAACCUUGGAUCGGUAGGCCUAAGGCACCCUUCUAGGGGGAUUUAAUGAGCUAUCCUUAUGAACCUUGAUUGGCCAUGACUAAGAAAUGGGGCCUUUCUUGGGAAGAGGUACUAUGAGUUGGUUGAACUAGAAAAGGAACCUUCUCUAAGUACAUAUGUGAUUGAAUACUCUAUGGGAAACAAGGCUAGCACCGAGUGGAUGUGGUUAGGAAGGUGGCCUAGUUGAGUAUGAGAUUAGGCACAAUGAACUUCCUUGGACAUCCCCUAAACCAUGUGCCUACAUGGGAUGUGUCCUAGUUCUACCCUUGGCAAGUAGAACACCUUCCACGGUGUAGGGUUUUAUGACACCGGAUUCCAUGUCUAGCUUGCAUGGUCUAUGUCGGUUAAUGCCUAUUCCCAUCAUGUGGGAUGUGCACUCUAGUUAUUGGAUAGGUUCUACAACGUGUAGGUAGUAGUAUGGGAUGCUAUCUACACAUGGCACGAGUAGGCUUUGAAGAUACUAAAGUGAGUUCCCUAAGUCUAACGACUAUUAUGUGAAAGUCCCCUUAUGUGCUUGAAUGUCUCCAAAAUGGUUUCUUAAAGAAUGUUGGUCUAUUGAUGUUAUGUUGUAAAGGAAAUGUCCUUAUCUAAGGUAAUCUUGGGGAACACUUAAGUGUGCUUGAAGAGGUUGUAUGGGCGGUCACUUCUUGUCUCACUCAAGUGUGUCUUAAGGUUAUAUUAGGUAGAGGUCCUAUGGUAAUGAAAUGACAUGUGUUCUUUUAAAGUUAAGCAUGGGUUGUAUGUGGAUUUAUGUUGAGUAUAUGUAUGGUUGGCUAUGGUCUUAUAUGUUAAUGUUGACUUGUAUUAUGUCUCUUAUACUUGUAAAGGAAAGGUUUUAUCAAAUUGAUAUGAAAGCAUUUAUUCUUUGAAAAUGUCCUUUUUGGCAUGUUUUUGCAUGGUCUCCAUACUUAGUACUUAAUUGUGCUAACCCCUUUCUUUCCCUUUUUAACUAAAGUGUAGGGAUUUGGAGAUGGUGACAUGUCAUGGCUAUUUGAUAGGUUUCUAAGUGUUGAAGAUGAAGACUUGGUGAGUCCUCAUAGAUUCGAGGACAAUACCCUACAUGUUCCUUUUUAUGUAUUUCUAGUAUUUUGUUCAAGUCUUGUAUGGGCUUAGUCCUUAUUUUGUACUCUAAAGUACUAGAUGGUUUUGAGACAUCAUGUAUAAAGUCUAGAAAGUCUUCCGCUUGCUAUUUUUAAUUAAAUGUUUUCUUGGUAAAGAAAGUUUUAAAUUCAUUAUGUUUUUAGUGUCUAUGCGAUGAAUGAAUGCUAAGAGGCUUGUAUUAGACCUCUUCGAGGUCGAGUACGCCGGUUACGACUAAGGGGUGCUCCCGGGUCGUGACAGUAAUUAUAUGUUUCUAUACGAACAAAAAUACAUGACUUAAAUAUUUGAUUCUAUAACAUUACUAUCUGUUUCAUAUACUCUUAUUGUUUCUAUAAAUCCUAAUUUCAUACUUGUUAAUCUCUUAUUUUUAUUUUUCAGAAAUAAGGGAAAUCCUUUAGAUUUUUUGAAUAUGUCUUGAUUGUUAACCGCCUAAAAUAGAAUAUAUUGAGUCUUUUUAGUAUAAAUAUUACAUCUCUAACAUAUAAACGACAAACUUUAAUGUACGAUAACGUUUCAUACUCAUUGGGUAAGAAAUGUUGUUUUACUAUUUUGAAUCCUUUCUUUUGCUGGCUGCAAGCCAAGAUUCUUCAUUGUGAAACAUCUUUUAUUCUACUGGUUAGUGCUCUGUCAAAGUAAUUAUGAUUUAAACGUGAUAGUUCUUAGUAGUUAUGUUGGAAUUAUUGAUGAUAAACAAGGAAAGGAGACAUCAAAGGGAGAAAAGACAAACAAGCAGACAAGAGCUUCAUGUUUGGCUUUGAUCUCAUCGGAAAAGUCUAAUCCCUUCAUCUGGUCUGAAAAGGACAAAAGGGUGGUACACUCUGGGUUGAAGAAUUGUUUUAACAUUAGGCUAGCUAAAAGCCCACCUCAAAUAAAAGAAGUCAUCAGACCAUUUCGUAUAAAUGGCCCAAUAGACAAUAGAUAUGCAACAUACAUACAUAGAAAAGGAAUAAAGUUUGUUAUAGAUUAAGCCAAUUAAUCUUGUACAUCUGGCAUAGCAGUUAUAAUAGAAGGUUCCUUUUAUUUCCUCUUUUGUAUAUAAAUAUAGGAUCAAGAAUUGUAAAUUGGAUCGAUCAACAUACACAGAAAUUUUUCAAGUCCUGUUUGCUUUCUUUCAUGGUAUCAGAGCUUACCUAAUCAUAAAUUCUCUAAUCUAUCACCCUAAGCAACAGAAAUGCCUGAUUCUGUAGUCUCUAUUGGAACGACAACUGGUAGUACUAACACUACUCCUGGAAUUGAUUCCAAUCACCCCUAUUUCCUCACAAACUCAGAUGCACCGAGUAUGACCCUCGUUAAUGGUAUCUUUGAUGGCAAAGGAUACCAGGCAUGGAAGAGAUCUGCACUCAUUGCCCUUUCAGCAAAGAACAAGCUGGGUUUUAUUACAGGGGAUCAGCCUGCACCAACUGUUGGUUCUUCAGAUCUGCAGCUAUGGAGCAGAUGUAAUGACAUGGUUACUUCAUGGUUGCUCAACUCUCUCUCCAGGGAAAUUGCUGAUAGUGUGAUUUACUCCAGAUCUGCUAGAGAACUUUGGCUCAGCUUGGAGCAUCGAUUUGGUCAGUCAAAUGGUGCUAAACUCUUUCACCUGCAAAAGGAAUUAAGUAGGUUAGUUCAGGGAAACAAUAACAUAGCAGGAUAUUUCACUAAUCUUAAAAGACUCUGGGAUGAACUAGACUCUUUAAAUUCAAACAUCAAAUGUUCAUGUGUGUGUGUCUGUCAAGGAAAACAUAAAAUGGAGAAAUCUAUGGAGGAUGAAAAGCUUAUUCACUUCCUUAUGGGGCUCAAUGACACUUAUGCUCAGGCUAGAGGAAACAUCUUAAUGAUGAAUCCACUUCCUAACAUCAACAUUGCAUACUCCUUGAUCUUGCAAGAUGAAAAUCAGAGGAAGACUUACAUGAGUCCUUUUAUGCCCUCUGAUUCAUAUAGUAACAUGAAUCAGCAUAGAGGAAGGCAGCCUCAAUAAUUCACUGGUAACACAUUCAGAUCUGGAAAUACAUAUCCUAGAAAUGACAACUCACAAGGCUCACAGAAACCUCAAAAACAGUUUCAGAAAUUCAAAGGAAAAAAGGGAAAAUAUGAUCCUAAUGCAAACUGCACCCACUGUGGUAAGAAUGGACACUUGAAGUUGAACUGUUAUAGAUUGAUUGGGUUUCCAGAAGUCUUUCAGUUUACAAAUGAGAAGGGAAGUCAUGGUCAAAUAAGAGGAAAUGCAGUGGUCAACAUGGAGGAGGCAGAAGUUGGAUCCACUGCUCAUGCUAUCAAUCAACAUUUCACUUAGGAACAAAUCAAUUUUCUGUUUCAAAAUGGGAAAGAGCUACUUCAAGCUUUCACGCAGAUGAAGGUGGAAGAUAAGACCAACUUCUCAAAUGCUUCUGAGAUCAAUGCAAAUGUUGUAGCUGGUACACUAAUGAAGUAUUUUGGUUCCUGUUUCUCUGUUUUCAAUUCAAAUACAUGGAUUGUAGACUCGGGUGCUUCAGAACAUACGUGUUUUAAUCCUGAUUCUUUCUUAUCUAUGUCCCCCCUUACAGUUCCUCUAAACAUCAAUCUUCCUAAUUCAGAAUCUAUCAAUGUUACGCAUACUGGUGUUGUAUGUUUGUUUUCUGACCUAAUUCUGACUAAUGUCCUCUAUGUUCCUAGUUUCAAAUAUAACUUACUAUCAGUUCAUAAGUUAUGUUGUCAAUUCAACUUUUCAAUCUCUUUCACUUCUAAUGAAUGUCUACUGCAGGGCCUUUCCAUGAAGAAUCCUAAAGUUUUUGGUAAGGCUAAGGAGGGUCUCUACUUGCUUCAGCCAAAUCCUAAGACGUCUAUUCUUCAGUCAACUGAUUCCCAAUCUGUUUCUUUUCCUUUUUCUGUUUGUUCUAGUGCACUUUCUGAUGUAAAGUUGUGGCACAUUAGACUUGGGCAUCUGCCUUUAACAUCAAUGAAAAAUGUCAGUUUCAUUUCUGUUCCUUCUAGUCUUGAUUGUUAUUGUGAUAUUUGUCCACAAGCUAGGCAAUCUAGGCUUCCCUUUCCUAUCAGUCAUAAUAAAUCUAAAUCCAAGUUUGAGUUAAUUCAUGUUGACACCUGGGGGCCCUAUAAGGUACCAACUUAUAAUCAUCAUAAAUAUUUUCUUACUAUAGUUGAUGACUAUAGCAGGGCUACUUGGACAUAUCUAUUGGCUAGUAAGAGUAACUCGUUUCAUGCUUUACAGUCUUUUAUACAAAUGGUGCACAGACAGUUUGAUGCAAAGGUAAAGAUAGUGAGAUCAGAUAAUGCUCUUGAGCUAGGGAAAAGUGAGGCAGGUCUCUGUUUCUUCAACUCCCUUGGCAUAAUUCAUCAGACCUCUUGUGUUGCUUCCCCUCAACAAAAUGGUAUUGUUGAAAGGAAGCACAGACAUCUACUUGAGACUGCCAGGGCACUUAUGUUUCAAUCAAAAGUUCCUAUGAUUUAUUGGGGAGAGUGUAUCUUAACAGCUACUUUUCUUAUUAAUAGGUUCCCAUCCAAAGUUAUUGAUGGCAAGACGCCUUUUGAAUUGAUUUUUGGGAAAACCCCUUCUUAUCAUUUCUUAAGAUGUUUUGGUUGCUUAUGUUAUGCUAAUACUUUGAGUCAGGGGAGAGGUAAGUUUGACUCAAGGGCCAGAAGUUGUGCACUUCUGGGCUAUCCUAUAAAUCAGAAAGGUUACAAGUUAUUGGACUUGCAUACUAAAAAGAUUUUCAUCUCUAGAGAUGUGCAUUUUGUUGAGCAUAUCUUUCCUUUUGCUACUGCACAGUACGUUCCUCCUAUUUUUUCAGAACAUCCUAUUGAUUCUGAUUUUUUUUUCUUCUCCAUCUACUCCUCAGACUUCUCCCUCUCCUACUUUUCCUUCUUUGGAUCCAAUUUUGGUAUCCUCUCCUCCUUCUAACCUAUCUGAACCUGUUGUGGCUUCUCCCACCCCUGUUCCUCCUCUCAGAAGGUCCUCUAGGUCUACAUUAGGGAAAGCUCCUUCUCAUCUGCAUGAUUACAUCUGCAAUCUUAUAACUCUUACUGAUGUCACACACUCCUGUUUCUCCUCUACUCACACCCCUUCCACUAUUUUUGUUCAUACUCUUUCUCAACCUAAUCAAACCACCAUUCACAACACCUCUCAUAUCUUAGAACCUACCAGUUAUGCACAAGCUUGUUCUCAUCCAGGUUGGCUACAAGCCAUGGCUGCUGAACUUGAAGCUUUGCAAUCCGACUACACUUGGGAUGUGGUUCCUUUGCCUUAUGGUCGAAAAGCUUUACCUUGUAAGUGGGUCUACAAGGUUAAGCAACAUGUUGAUGGUACUUUGGAAAGACUGAAGGCCCGAUUGGUUGUGAAAGGUGACAUACAACAACAGGGGAUUGAUUUCACUGAAACCUUUUCCCCUGUUGUUAAGAUGACCACUAUUAGAUGUUUGUUGGCUAUUGCAGCCAAGAAAUCUUGGGACAUUUUUCAAUUUGAUGUCAAUAAUGCAUUUCUUAAAGGUGAUUUACAAGAGGAGGUUUAUAUGAAAUUUCCUAUAGGUUUGGUUCCUCCUCAACCUAAUAUGGUUUGCAAACUCCGCAAAUCUCUCUAUGGUCUUAAACAGGCUUCUCGGCAGUGGUAUGCCAAACUUGCCGGAGCUCUCACUUUUAAGGGUUUCACUGCCUCCCUCAAUGACUAUUCUUUAUUCUUCAAGAGGACAGGUUCUCUUACUACUAUUAUUGCCGUCUAUGUGGACGACAUCCUUAUUACGGGUGAUGAUCACCAAGAAAUCUCUGCUCUUAAGUUAUUUCUUCACUCAGAAUUUAAGAUCAAGGACCUUGGUCUUUUACACUAUUUUUUAGGCCUGGAACCACAUGGUAUUAUCAUCAGUCAAAGGAAAUAUACCUUGGAGCUUCUACAGGAGUUUGAUGUAGCUCAUCUUCCAUAUGUUUCUUCUCCUUUAGAUCCAUCUGUCAAAUUACUUGCAGAUUCAGGGGAUUUCAUGACAGAUCCUACACUAUACAGACAUCUCAUCGGCAAACUUAACUAUUUGACUCAUACCCGUCCCGAUUUGUCUCAUUCCGUUUUGAUUCUCAGUCAGUUUAUGCAAAAGUCGUGCCUGUCACAUUAUGAUGCUGCUUUGAGAGUGGUGAGUUACCUGCAGCAUUGCCCUAUUCAAGGUUUGUUCAUGUCUCCUUCAUCUUCAUUUUCCCUUCAAGCUUUUUGUGAUGCCGACUGGGCGUCCUGUAGAGAUACAAGGAGGUCGAUCAAUGGGUUUUUUAUCAGUUUGGGCGGUUCACCCAUUUCUUGGAAAUCUAAGAAACAGGCCUCUGUUUCCCUCUCUUCCGCUGAGGCGGAGUAUCGAUCUAUGCGGCGCCUUGUUGCCAAGUUGACCUGGUUGGUGCGCUUACUCUCCGAUCUGUCCGUUCCUCCUGACCUUCCAGUCCCAGUUCACUCCGACAGUCAGGCUGCUAUCCAUAUCGCUCGAAAUCCGGUCUUUCAUGAACGGACCAAACAUGUUGAUCUCGAUUGCCAUUUUGUUCGCCAACAGUACUUAUCUGGGCUCAUCUCACUCUCCUUUGUUCCGUCAAAAGCACAACUGGCUGACCUUUCUCACCAAAUCUCUCUCUGGUCCUCUCCAUCGCUCUCUUCUUCCCAAGAUGGGUCUCACUCAGCUCCUCUCCAUCUUGCUGGGGGAUGUUGGAAUUAUUGAUGAUAAACAAGGAAAGGAGACAUCAAAGGGAGAAAAGACAAACAAGCAGACAAGAGCUUCAUGUUUGGCUUUGAUCUCAUCGGAAAAGUCUAAUCCCUUCAUCUGGUCUGAAAAGGACAAAAGGGUGGUACACUCUGGGCUGAAGAAUUGUUUUAACAUUGGGCUAGCUAAAAUCCCACCUCAGAUAAAAGAAGUCAUCAGACCAUUUCGUAUAAAUGGCCCAAUAGACAAUAGAUAUGCAACAUACAUACAUAGAAAAGGAAUAAAGUUUGUUAUAGAUUAAGCCAAUUAAUCUUGUACAUCUGGCAUAGCAGUUAGAAUAGAAGGUUCCUUUUAUUUCCUCUUUUGUAUAUAAAUAUAGGAUCAAGAAUUGUAAAUUGGAUCGAUCAACAUACACAGAAAUUUUUCAAGUCCUGUUUGCUUUCUUUCAAGUUAAAAGCUACUACCUCAGUCUACAUAUAUUUGGUUAGCUCGAAUGCGUUAAGCAUUUAAUGGAAAGCAUUUAGGUAUGAUUCUAGACCUUAUUUGUGCUAGUUUUUUUGUUUAAUAGAUGCAAUAUGAGAAUUGAUCUUUGUUUGACUGAUACAGAUACUAAUAUUGUUGAGGCACUACGGAAAAUUGCCUCUCUACCUUCGAGAUUGGGGUAAGGUUCAGACACACUUGUUUUAGCACAUUGUUGAGCUCUAUCCUGCCCGAAUUCUUUGUGAAGAAAUUUCAGAUGAUACCCUUAAACUAGUACGAGGUUUUUCUACACUGCUUCCACCAUGUAGGAGCACUUUCAUCUUAUAUACAUACAUAAACCUAAUUUCAUAUGUAAUAAUUACAAAAUAUCUUUUCAAAAGACUGAUCAUCAAAUUUAGUUUAAUUGCUCAUGGAGGAUGCAUUAAAGGGGACUGAAAUUCUUAUAAUAAAGGUCCACAAAGUUGCAUCUACAACAUUGUGAUCCCAACUAGUGUAAACCUUAGUUGCACGGACGCUUCACUUUUGAUGCCGCACUCGUGUCGGAUUCUCCAAAUAUACACUAUUUUUGGCGAAUCGAACACACACCGUUGACAUUGUUGAAGAGUCCGAACAACAUAGACGUAAACUUGUUUUUCUUGAAUGGUUCUUCUGCAAUUAACUUUGGGUAGAGUGAUCUUGAUAAACUCUGUUUUAGAUUCACUACCUACUUAUGUUAUGUCGUUAUUUCCAAUUCCUCCAAUAGUUAUCAAAAAGCUGGACAGACUGAGAAGAAACCUCAUCUGGAAAAAAGGCAAAGAGGGAGAGGGCAAGGGUUACCAUUUAGUGAAAUGGAACACUGUGAUGCUAAGCAAAGAAAGAGGGGAACUGGGUAUUAGAAAUUUGAGAAUCCAAAAUAAGAGCCUUUUGAUGAAGUGGUUGUGCAGAUAUACUAGUGAGGAAGGAACCCUAUGGAAGGAGGUGAUAGUGGCAAAGUAUGGGGAAUUGAACCCAUGGUGUACAGAGAUAGUGUCAGAACCCUAUGGAUGGGGAGUAUUGAGGUCAAUCAGAGCUUUAUGGAACUCCAUGGAAGAAAAUGUGUUUCUCAAAGUUGGAAAUGGCAACAAGAUCAAGUUUUAGAGAGAUGGAUGGAUUGAUCAAAUUCCUCUAAGUGAGUCAUUCCCAGAUCUUUUCUCAAUCUGCAACAAUCCUAAAGCCAGAGUAUGUGAAUGUUGGACAACUCAAGGCUGGGACCUAUCUUUCAGAAGGCUAUUGAAUGACUGGGAAGUAGAUAGAGUGGCUUUUUCCUGGGAAAAUUGGGGGAAACCAAUCUAGUAACAAAUGCACCAGAUAGAGUUAUUGGAAGCACAACAAGGAUGGCAAAUUCACGGCAUACAAGUUGGGUUAGAGGCUACCGAUCAUCACUGGAAGAGUAUUUGGAGAGGAUUGAUCCCCACCAAAGUGAAAUGUUUCACCUGGUUAGUCAUCAGAAGAGCCUGCUUAACUCAAGAAGUGCUGCAGAAGAAAGGAAAGCAACUAGUCCCUAGGUGUUUCCUAUGCAAUUUGACUGGGGAAACAAACAAUCACCUAUUUUUACAUUGCAAAUUCACUGCACAGAUAUGGGAGUUGUUUCUCAACAUCACAUGCUAUAGCUGGACUAUGCCAGAACACACCUCUGAUCUUUUUAAAUGUUGGAUCAGAAAGGGGGUAGCAAGACUCAAAAGAAGUAGUGGAAGCUAAUACCAUCAUGCAUAUGGUGGUCAGUGUGGAAGGAAAGAAAUGGGAGAUGUUUUGAAGAUAGAUCUAAUUCCAUUCACAAAGUAAAAUGGAAUUAUUUGGUAUCCUUACUUUUUUGGUGUAAACAACUCUGCAUAGAAGAUGUAGAUCAAAUUAUAGAAUUAAUAGGGAGCUUGUAAUUUCGCUUAGGGCUGUAAAUUUUGAAGGUGGCCAGCAUGUCCUUAAUGCUGAAGAAUACAACUUUACCAAUGUUCAAAAAAAAAAGAAUUGCAAAGUGUUCAUAAUAGUUAACUAGAGUGACAAUUACAGUCAAUCUCUGCCUAAUUCUUGGAGGCUAGUAAGAUAUAACACUUAACUGUAGAUUGCAAUGAAAAUUUAUCCCAUUCUGGCACAUAUUUGUAAUAUCUUUUUUUAAUGAAGUGUUUAUGUUUUAAAAUAUAUACUUUAAUUCUACAUUUAAUAUGAGCAAAAAGUUAUAACAUAUUUCAGUUCUAGUAGACUACUACAUGUUAUCUUGAUGAUCGGAGUGAUGGAAAAUGGAUCAUGAAGGAGCAUUUGAAGCUCCGUCUCCCAGAGUCUUGAACACGUUAUAUGGUAUAUAACUCUGUGAAGUGAGCAAGUGCACUUUACCAAUUUAUUCAUAGCUUUGAAUUGUGUCUUUAUUUUGCUUCAACAUUUUGUUCGUAUAAAAUAAAGUUAUAGAAUUCUCAUGCAUCACAUGAUAUACAUAUAAGGUUGUUAAGUUGAGUAACAAUCUUUAGAGACGACACCCAACACAUGCAUUUCUGCUGAGGAAUAACUGAGGUGUGACUCCUUAAUUUGAGAGAACAAAGUCCAGUUAAUGGUUUGAAGCUUUUUCAACACCUAAAAGGUCUUUGUUUAGGUAUUUGGCAUUUGAGCUUAAUAUAUUAGGAUAAAACUGUGUUGUACAAUUUUUAUUAGUCAUAUUGGGUGUGUUGGGUUAAAUGUUUUGGAAAAUGUUUUCCAAACAAACUCAUUUUCCUUAAAUUUAAGGAAAAUGACUUCCCUUCAAAACUUAAGGAAAACAUUUUCCAAACCUCUCUUCCAACUUCAAAUUACAAUGACUUCAAAAUUUCUUUUUUUCACCCUACCCUUUACCCCCACCCACCUCCUACCCAGNNNNNNNNNNNNNNNNNNNNNNNNNNNNNNNNNNNNNNNNNNNNNNNNNNNNNNNNNNNNNNNNNNNNNNNNNNNNNNNNNNNNNNNNNNNNNNNNNNNNNNNNNNNNNNNNNNNNNNNNNNNNNNNNNNNNNNNNNNNNNNNNNNNNNNNNNNNNNNNNNNNNNNNNNNNNNNNNNNNNNNNNNNNNNNNNNNNNNNNNNNNNNNNNNNNNNNNNNNNNNNNNNNNNNNNNNNNNNNNNNNNNNNNNNNNNNNNNNNNNNNNNNNNNNNNNNNNNNNNNNNNNNNNNNNNNNNNNNNNNNNNNNNNNNNNNNNNNNNNNNNNNNNNNNNNNCCCCCCCCCCAAAAAAAUAAAUAAAUUUAAGUUUGUUUUUAAAAAAUAUUUUCAAUUUCAAAAAUUAUUUUCUACUCUAGUUAAAAUAAAAGAUAUUUUUUAAAAAUAUUUUUCAUUUAUAAGUCAAACAAUAAAAAUCUUUUCCGGAAAAUAUUUUCUACUCACCAACCAAACAUGAGAAAAUAAGUCAAAAAUCAACUUGUUUUCCAGGAAAACAUUUUCUAGGAAAACAUUUUCCUUCAUACCAAACACACCCAUUGUCUCUUUUCUCUUAAAUGCACUCUAUAAUCUUUCACUUCAAGGUUACGUCUUCUGUUGUAGUAUUACAUUAUGAGAAUUGUUAAAGUAAUCCUAUUUUUAACUCUUAAUUACAGGGACAAGAUUCUAGAGCAAAAAUGGUGUCGAGGAAGGACAAGUUGGAAGGCCUUUCGUGUUUUCUUUUCAUUAUAUAUGUAAAGUUACAUUGAAAAAUACACUCUUGUGUAAAACAUUUAAUUGACCUCUUA